RNAcentral lists this ribosomal RNA (429 nucleotides) under Chloroflexota bacterium. Its description in RNAcentral is "Chloroflexi bacterium partial 16S ribosomal RNA". It matches the Rfam family "Bacterial small subunit ribosomal RNA", at positions 355 to 776 of the family's 1533-position model. The record is from RNAcentral. Lineage: Bacteria; Bacillati; Chloroflexota. RNAcentral also lists the same sequence under 1 other name.
UAGGGAAUCUUCGGCAAUGGACGAAAGUCUGACCGAGCAACGCCGCGUGAGUGAAGAAGGUUUUCGGAUCGUAAAACUCUGUUGUUAGAGAAGAACAAGGACGUUAGUAACUGAACGUCCCCUGACGGUAUCUAACCAGUAAGCCACGGCUAACUACGUGCCAGCAGCCGCGGUAAUACGUAGGUGGCAAGCGUUGUCCGGAUUUAUUGGGCGUAAAGCGAGCGCAGGCGGUUUCUUAAGUCUGAUGUGAAAGCCCCCGGCUCAACCGGGGAGGGUCAUUGGAAACUGGGAGACUUGAGUGCAGAAGAGGAGAGUGGAAUUCCAUGUGUAGCGGUGAAAUGCGUAGAUAUAUGGAGGAACACCAGUGGCGAAGGCGGCUCUCUGGUCUGUAACUGACGCUGAGGCUCGAAAGCGUGGGGAGCAAACAGG